AUUGAACGCUGGCGGCAUGCCUUACACAUGCAAGUCGAACGGAAGCACGGGUGCUUGCACCUGGUGGCGAGUGGCGAACGGGUGAGUAAUAUAUCGGAACGUACCUUAUUGUGGGGGAUAACGCAGCGAAAGCUGUGCUAAUACCGCAUAAUCCCUAAGGGGGAAAGCGGGGGACCGUAGGGCCUCGCGCAAUUAGAGCGGCCGAUACCUGAUUAGCUAGUUGGUGAGGUAAAGGCUCACCAAGGAAACGAUCAGUAGCUGGUCUGAGAGGACGAUCAGCCACACUGGGACUGAGACACGGCCCAGACUCCUACGGGAGGCAGCAGUGGGGAAUUUUGGACAAUGGGGGCAACCCUGAUCCAGCAAUGCCGCGUGAGUGAAGAAGGCCUUCGGGUUGUAAAGCUCUUUUGUCAGGGAAGAAACAGCAGCUCUAACACAGUUUGCGAAUGACGGUACCUGAAGAAUAAGCACCGGCUAACUACGUGCCAGCCGCCGCCGUAA
RNAcentral lists this ribosomal RNA (501 nucleotides) under uncultured bacterium. RNAcentral describes it as "partial 16S ribosomal RNA". It matches the Rfam family "Bacterial small subunit ribosomal RNA", at positions 30 to 523 of the family's 1533-position model. The record is from RNAcentral.